This 459-nucleotide ribosomal RNA is filed under the name uncultured bacterium. Its description in RNAcentral is "partial 16S ribosomal RNA". It matches the Rfam family "Bacterial small subunit ribosomal RNA", at positions 338 to 795 of the family's 1533-position model. The record is from RNAcentral.
CCUACGGGAGGCAGCAGUGAGGAAUAUUGGUCAAUGGGCUUACGCCUGAACCAGCCAAGUCGCGUGAGGGAAGACUGCCCUAUGGGUUGUAAACCUCUUUUGUCAGGGAGCAACGCCGGCUACGUGUAGCCGGACUGAGAGUACCUGAAGAAAAAGCAUCGGCUAACUCCGUGCCAGCAGCCGCGGUAAUACGGAGGAUCCGAGCGUUAUCCGGAUUUAUUGGGUUUAAAGGGUGCGUAGGCGGAAUGCCAAGUCAGCGGUAAAAUCGAGAGGCUCAACCUCUUUCCGCCGUUGAAACUGUCGGUCUUGAGUGGGCGAGAAGUAUGCGGAAUGCGUGGUGUAGCGGUGAAAUGCAUAGAUAUCACGCAGAACUCCGAUUGCGAAGGCAGCAUACCGGCGCCCGACUGACGCUGAGGCACGAAAGCGUGGGUAUCGAACAGGAUUAGAUACCCAGUAGUC